CUCAUCUCUUUCACUGGGCCCUUGACUCAAUCAUUCAAAACUCAUCAACUGUCAUUCCAUUCUACCUAAACUUAUCGUAAACUAUCCAAAAGACGACUCCUAUCUUAUGGGCUGUUCCCCAAGACCAACACUAUCUUGGGAAUUCCUUUCGUUCUGUUGGAAACACGUUAUGGCACUUCCCGUUGAAAUGAACAAGGCUGAUACCGCGCGUAAUUGAUUUGAAUAGGGUUGAACCGGUUAAACCCUAUCGAUUACGCCUGUUUUCAAUAUCUCCUGUGGGUCUGCUGUGAACGCGCGCCUGGUUAUGUUUCACAGUUUAUUUUCGCCCUGAUAUCGCGGUCAACUUCAGACAGCACUAGUCUGCAUUUGAUUAAUCAAAAUCAAAACGUAAACAAAAUAUCCACUAGGUAUCUCGAACCCUUUUUUUUUAAGUAUAGGCAAAUUUCAGAGGAUAGAAGCAACGGAGCAACCUGGAGAAACUAAUUUCUUCGGAACACUUAUCGACAAAAGGCAAAAGGGAGAAUCCACGACCACUUUGAUGCACCAAGGAACAAGCGAAGUCCUUUGCUGGAGCUACUAUUUUUAUUUAUCCUGGCUUCAAAUGGGAAGCCGGCCAUACUCCUAGUGGCUUACCGUCCAAAUCAUGGAGCUCAUAAGACGACGACCCUUUUACUUUGGUGACCCGAGCUGUUUUUUUUUAUCUAGCAUUGCGUGAAAGUUCGUCGACAAGAAACAAAUAUUGUUAUCGUAUUUUUGGUAACAAAUGUUUAAACACCUACGCCUACUAAAGGAGUGUUAUUAUUUGUAAAAUUAUAAUAGUGUAGUGUGUGCUCCGGGAAAACAACACAGGAUCGGAUUAUGUAUAUGUAUACCGUGUGGCCGGGGAAAAGAUAAUGUGAACAACCAGAUGCAGAAAGAUUUGGCCAAGCUGGGAAGCAAGUAUUAUCGACUGGCCAAGAGUGAAAGUAGAAGAUCAAAGUAUAAUGUUUUGGGGGGAGUGCUUGAGAAUUAUCGACUCAGUCAGAAGUAACUUCGUUCUAAAGUGACAAUAUACCCGACGUAGCUGGUAAACCUUGGAGCACCUUCAAACGAUUUACCAAAGGACAAAUUCGGAUGACAAGAUUGACAAGUCGUCUACGAUACCCAGAUCAUCGCUUAGGUCCAGUAGAAGAAAAGCGCCGUCUUGGUAUUAAACGCGCAACACGGGUUUUCCGCAUGCACAAGAAACUAUCUCCGCUCAAUCCACAAGCUUGAAGUAAUUGACCAACUAUGAUAAUGCCAUCGAACUUAUUACCGUCAAAGAUAUACUAUAUACUGCCAGGAGAACGGCAGAUCAGCUUUGGACUUACACUACAUAUGCACGAGAAUGAUGGCGAUCUGAAGAAGAGUAAGGAUCGUUCAUCGAUGAAAUAGAUGACCCCGGAAUCGCUUGCGAACCACAUCCUGUUCGUUUCUAUUGCUCGGAUGAUCCAAAACUGCGACCAUCGUACAAAUAUUCGGCUGUCCGAUUUGAACAGAAGCUGCACCGCACAGUAUGGAACAAAAUUUCACUUCAAAUCGGGUGCAUUGCAAUAAAAUACUAUGAAACCGUCAUGGAAAGUCUCUGGACACCGUCCCAUUGGUCCCAGUAUGCGCCGGCUAGCGAUAUCAACACCAUGCCACUACCGAAGGCCGAAGUGGCCUGUGUGGUAUAUAAGAGUCUUCUCCAUUCGGCUCGGCCCAUGGCUACACGUUGCCAACCACGCAGUCUACGGAGGGUCCGCAAGUCAUCUUCGGUCAAUAAUAACUAGUUACAUAAAAUGUUUUUGUGUAUUUCUAUAAAACGAAUAAUUUUAGCUGUAAAUAUCAAAUUAAAUCAUAUGAAAUCAAUUUGACAACACGAAAUGCGUUUUUUAGUUUUAUUAUAACACUUUCUACAAUAAUGUCAAUUUAUCCAUCAUUAUAAUAAUGUGAACAUAAUUAUUACUAUAAAGUCAUAUAAUAAACGAUAGCUACCUUGCCUUAUAUGGCGAUGUUACCCCACUUACUCCUAAUAAAAAAAUAAAGCGAAAGAAUGGCUGCAGAUUAUGUUUAUGUGAACCUUUCACGUUUCCAAUGAGAAUGAAUGAAUUACACCCAGGUUUUUUUUUACACGGUUGAAAUUCUUUAAUUUCUCGGUUAACCCGAACAUUCACAGCUUU
Molecule: long non-coding RNA, 2180 nt
Organism: Armigeres subalbatus
Lineage: Eukaryota; Metazoa; Arthropoda; Insecta; Diptera; Culicidae
Exons: 4
Source: RefSeq, a predicted model, not a curated record